RNAcentral lists this ribosomal RNA (235 nucleotides) under uncultured bacterium. Its description in RNAcentral is "partial 16S ribosomal RNA". It matches the Rfam family "Bacterial small subunit ribosomal RNA", at positions 96 to 334 of the family's 1533-position model. The record is from RNAcentral.
CGGCGGACGGGUGAGUAAUGUCUGGGAAACUGCCCGAUGGAGGGGGAUAACUACUGGAAACGGUAGCUAAUACCGCAUAAUGUCUGCGGACCAAAGCGGGGGACCUCCGGGCCUCGCGCCAUCAGAUGAACCCAUAUGGGAUUAGCUAGUAGGUGGGGUAACGGCUCACCUAGGCGACGAUCCCUAGCUGGUCUGAGAGGAUGACCAGCCACACUGGAACUGAGACACGGUCCAG